UCAUUUUCCAUUGGUUUAUAUUUAUUGUCCUGUAUAUAAUAACUGGUAAACUACAACUAAGUGACUUUUAUACAAUUCAAAGGUUUAGCAUUGUACUCUUAAUAACGAAACAUGUUUAGAUUAUUGAAAGUAACACAGCAUGAGUGACAGGAGGCUUGACAAAUGGGAAGGAAGACAGGGUCUCUGGUUGCAUCAUCACCAGCAGCUGUCCCAGCUAGCACAUUUGGUUCCUUGGAAGCUGUGGGAACGUACAUUUUAAGUAGUUAAGAUUCCUGACGGUUAAAACAAAAACGUUUUGUAUUACUUUCUGAGAAUAGAAGUGAAAACUUAGCCUGUUCUGGGCACGUUAAUAUUUAGGUUGCAGGGUUCCCCUGAAAGCCAGCCUGGGAGUUUUUUUAUUAACAUUCUGAGAAUGGAAAUUCAAGGAUAUUUUGAAGGUAAUUAAAUAACGUUCUGAGAACAUGUUUCAGUAAGACUUUUAAUAACGCUGCUAGUUUAGUUUGGGUUAACUGUUAUGAACUCCCAGCACAGAUAGGACACAUGGACAGUUAUUUUUCUGGGCAUUAAAUCAUGCAAACACAUUCCUUUUUUAUUGUGGCAUGUGAGAUUCAAACCUAUGAUCUUCUGUUCUCUAUCCAUGGAAUUAGUCCACAGCUCCACCAAGAUGGAGCUAGCAUGCCAUGUUAAAAAGAAAAACUCAAACAAACCUGUUCAUUUUAGUCUUUACAAACAGACCCUAGUUAUUUCUCAACGUUCUGUGAACGUGACUUUAAAUAGAACCGUGAAGAAACCUGUAGAAAACAUUUUUGCUGAAGUACUGAAAUUCCCACAGAAGAAUGUUAUAAAACUGUAGUAAAAAUGUAAUGGGACAGUUGUAUACUAAAUAAACAUAGUACGUUCAAGCUCUAACCAAGCUCUAAGAAACAUAUGGUUUUCAGAACGUUAUGUGCUAGCUGGGGACCUAUCAGCACGGAGACAGGGAACAUGAUUGACAUCAAGUGGGACUACCUGUGUCUGGGUGCAAGCGUUUUGCUAGCUGGGGCAUUUGCCACAUACAGAGUUUAGGUGACCCACUGGCUUGUAAAACAAGCAGACCCUCUGUCUUUGACCUCAUGUCAGGUCAGAGCCGGUUACCAGGACACCUCUGGUUAAAAGCAGGGUGUAGGGGAUAGAUUAGCCUUAUACAGCAGGGGCAAUGUGAUUGGUAACACCGACCACAAACUCGCCCAAUCAAAACACCUUUGUCUGCAGAGAGCCAAUCCAGGACUGGUUUAUGAGUUCGACAGUAGGAGUUGGUAGAAGUGGAGCUUUGGAGCCCUGCAGAAUAACAGCCCCUCUAAGACUGUAACUAGGCAUCCCCUGCACCAGGAGACAGACAGACAGGUAACAGCCCCUCUAAGACUGUAACUAGG
Oncorhynchus tshawytscha (Chinook salmon) is the source of this 1412-nucleotide long non-coding RNA. NCBI's taxonomy places the organism in Eukaryota, Metazoa, Chordata, Actinopteri, Salmoniformes, Salmonidae. The record is from Ensembl.